UGUUUCUGGUUUAGAGAGAGAGAAGGAACCAAACAACAUUAAACGAAUCCCAGCACAAUCAUCUUCCCCAAGCCAGCCUUUGCUGCAGCCAGCACAAAUGCAGCUGCUGAAGGUGGAGGCCAGGUGGGAGCAGGUCAUUAGAAAGGUCAAAGAGAGAAGGAGAAAAACAAGACUUGCAGACUCAUUUUCUGCCCUUCAACAUGAAACAAAACCACCCAAGUUUAUCUACCCUGCUGAAGAGAAACCUCUCCAGAGGGACGAGGUCAAAGAGCUGAGUGACCUCACCCCUGCCCCAGCACAAGCCCUCUCGAGUCCCUGUGGCCCUUAGCUGUCUCUUUUGGCUGACAAAUUAUCCAAGGAACCGAGACAGACUCAAAAGAGGCUGCAAAGAGAUUGCACUGUGGGAUGAAGUCCCUGGCAGAGGGGGUAAGUGGGUGCUGGAACAGACUCACUGCACAGGGACGAGAUGGAGAUGUUACAAAACCAAACUGUCAGCACUCUGCUCUCAGGAAAUAUUCAGGACUUUGAAACCCAUUGUGAAACUUCCUGGUGGUCUUAACCACAAGGCAAUAAACCCACAGAGCUGUACUUUGUCGU
Molecule: long non-coding RNA, 597 nt
Organism: Pogoniulus pusillus (Red-fronted tinkerbird)
Lineage: Eukaryota; Metazoa; Chordata; Aves; Piciformes; Lybiidae
Exons: 2
Source: RefSeq, a predicted model, not a curated record